CAGUCGCCGCGGGAAUACGAAGGGGGCAAGCGUUGUCCGGAAUUAUUGGGCGUAAAGGGCUCGCAGGCGGUUUCUUAAGUCUGAUGUGAAAGCCCCCGGCUCAACCGGGGAGGGUCAUUGGAAACUGGGAAACUUGAGUGCAGAAGAGGAGAGUGGAAUUCCACGUGUAGCGGUGAAAUGCGUAGAGAUGUGGAGGAACACCAGUGGCGAAGGCGACUCUCUGGUCUGUAACUGACGCUGAGGAGCGAAAGCGUGGGGAGCGAACAGGAUUAGAUACCCCGGUAGUCCCUGUCUCUUAUAC
RNAcentral lists this ribosomal RNA (301 nucleotides) under uncultured bacterium. RNAcentral's name for it is "partial 16S ribosomal RNA". It matches the Rfam family "Bacterial small subunit ribosomal RNA", at positions 509 to 807 of the family's 1533-position model. The record is from RNAcentral.